AACCUUUACAACAAAUCCAACUGUGAAAUCUGUAUUCAACUUCAUUCCCCUUCAUUCCCCUAAUAUCAUUUGUUUUCAAGAAGUUACUCUGAUGAUUUAUGACCUUUUUCGUGGGUCUAACUGGUGGAAAGGGUACCGGUGCUCUAUCUCGGACGACACGGUGAGUUUGAGAGCUUACUUUUGUAUGCAGGUAUGUUUUGAUUGCCAUAAUUUUGUGAAGCUUUUUAUGCAAAUGUGUAUACUUACUAUAUUGUUUUGCAGUUAAGCAAAUUGCCUGUGAAAUCCUUAACAGUCUGAAACAUAUUGCAUUGAUGGAGGCCAAGAUGAAAAAACUCUCUGAUUUACUGAGUAAGAAUUUAGAAGGGAUUGAGGAAGCAGCAAGCAAUGGCCCCAAAAGACGGAGAAAGCAUUUCUCAAACACCCCAAGGUGUUUUUAAGGUGAACUAGCUUCUUCUAUGUCUUUAUUAAUUCUUGGUUUUGUUGAUUUCAUUUUUAAAUUAUUGGUGUUUUUCGAGAUCUGGGUUAAAUUAGUGAUGGUUUUUUUUUCUGUUUAGAUCUUGCAUUAAUAUGAAAUUUGAUUUGGUAUUUUGGCGGCUUGAAUUUUCAAUUCAAAAUAUCUGUUUUCUUAAUGUAAAUUUUGUGAUACUUGCACUUGGAUCUGCAAUUAUUUUUCCUCCCUGCUAAAUUAUGAUCCAUCUGUUACAAAUCUGUUUUGCAUUGUUCAUCAAAUAACAUGCACAAAUAAUAUUAUUUGUAUAUAUUUUGAGGAAAAUUAUAAUAUUAUUAUAUAUAAUCAAUGCAAAAUUUUUAAGGCACCUUAUUAAGUACGAAAUUUAUAGGCACGAAACUAAGAAUGGUUAAAGCUUCUACAAACUUUUUUGUUGUCAACAUGGCGACUUUAGCUUUCUCAGCAUCAAUAAUUACUGAACUGUUAACCUUAAUCUCCUCAAAAUCACAUUCCUUAGCAAGCUUCAUAACUAGCUUAACGACACACUAAUCUCUUAAAAGCAAAGAAUUUAAUUGAAGUUCAUAUUUUUGCAAGUUAAAUUUAGUAGAGUCUGUCGUCAUUCAUUGUGUGGUUAUUUGUGUUUUUCGGCCACUGUAUGUUGUUCUUGCUUUUUCCUUUUGCGGUGCUUUGUCGCACAGCACUUGGGCUACAUAUCCCCACGAGUUUGAAGACUUUGCUACUGGUCUGCUUAAAAUUCUGUGGAAGGCAAAUUUCUCUUAUAAAUUAUGAAAUUGUUCUAAAAGAAAAGAAAGAAGCUUAAAAUGUGAAAAAAAAACUCAUCAAACUAUUCCUUUUUGAACAUUAAAUACCUCUGCUAGUAAUUUUGGGUACUGCUUCUUUGCUUGCAAUCAUACCUUGUUUAUUUCUAUUCCAAUUAGAUUACAUUAAUAUGAGCAUGCUUUAUCUGUUGACACCUUUCAUAAACUAGUUUCUGCGCAAAUCAC
This is a long non-coding RNA of Gossypium raimondii (Peruvian cotton), 1452 nucleotides long. RefSeq lists it as uncharacterized. The record is from RefSeq and is a predicted model, not a curated record. The transcript has 3 exons. Lineage: Eukaryota; Viridiplantae; Streptophyta; Magnoliopsida; Malvales; Malvaceae.